GGACGAACGCUGGCGGCGUGCUUAACACAUGCAAGUCGAACGCUGAAGCCUGGCUUUUGUUGGGUGGAUGAGUGGCGAACGGGUGAGUAACACGUGAGUAACCUGCCCCCUUCUUUGGGAUAACGCCCGGAAACGGGUGCUAAUACUGGAUAUUCACUGGUCUUCGCAUGGGGGUUGGUGGAAAGGGUUUUCUGGUGGGGGAUGGGCUCGCGGCCUAUCAGCUUGUUGGUGGGGUGAUGGCCUACCAAGGCUUUGACGGGUAGCCGGCCUGAGAGGGUGACCGGUCACAUUGGGACUGAGAUACGGCCCAGACUCCUACGGGAGGCAGCAGUGGGGAAUAUUGCACAAUGGGCGCAAGCCUGAUGCAGCGACGCCGCGUGAGGGAUGGAGGCCUUCGGGUUGUGAACCUCUUUCGCUCAUGGUCAAGCCGCAACAAUGGUUGUGGUGAGGGUAGUGGGUAAAGAAGCGCCGGCUAACUAC
This 480-nucleotide ribosomal RNA is filed under the name Actinomyces sp. 'ARUP UnID 46'. RNAcentral's name for it is "bacterial SSU rRNA". It matches the Rfam family "Bacterial small subunit ribosomal RNA", at positions 27 to 504 of the family's 1533-position model. Lineage: Bacteria; Bacillati; Actinomycetota; Actinomycetes; Actinomycetales; Actinomycetaceae. The record is from RNAcentral.